RNAcentral lists this long non-coding RNA (245 nucleotides) under Homo sapiens (human). RNAcentral describes it as "non-protein coding lnc-USP35-10:1". The record is from RNAcentral. Lineage: Eukaryota; Metazoa; Chordata; Mammalia; Primates; Hominidae.
GGCCAAAGGAACAGAUGUGAAGUGCAGCCCUCCAAGAGCGAAGUCUGGUCAGAUGAAAACUUUUCCUAGGACAGCUUUUUUCAUGCCUGGCCUCACUGGCAAGCAGAAGAAUGGAUGAGAGACAGCAGCCAUAUGCCAGACCCAUGGCAGACACUCGGCAAUUACAAAUGCUUUGCAAGCAUGCUUGUGACUCAAGAACAGAAGUGAAAGGAAGUGUCGGUCUUCUGCACUCUGCCACAGCAAGA